GUAAAUCUCGUGCCAGCCACCGCGGUUAUACGAAAGACCCUAGUUUAUAAACACGGCGUAAAGGGUGGUUAGGGGUUAAACAAAAUAAAGCCAAAGACUCCCUAAGCCGUCAUACGCUCAUGGAAGCACGAAGUCCAAACACGAAAGUAGCUUUACCAAAUACGCCCGACUCCACGAAAGCUGGGGGACAAACUAGGAUUAGAUACCCCAC
Molecule: ribosomal RNA, 211 nt
Filed under: Ancistrus hoplogenys
Lineage: Eukaryota; Metazoa; Chordata; Actinopteri; Siluriformes; Loricariidae
Description: partial small subunit ribosomal RNA
Source: RNAcentral